Molecule: long non-coding RNA, 1028 nt
Filed under: Parus major (Great Tit)
Lineage: Eukaryota; Metazoa; Chordata; Aves; Passeriformes; Paridae
Description: lncRNA (ENSPMJG00000002487.1)
Source: RNAcentral
GGUCCUGGAAGGGGAAACUGAGGCACGGAACCCUCCCCUUGUCAUGGUGGGGGGAAACUGAGGCACGGAACCCUCCCCCCUCAGUGUCAGCCGGAGGGUCCUGGAAGGGGAAACUGAGGCACGGAACCCUCCCCUUAUCACGAGGGGGGGAAACUGAGGCAUGGACACCCCCCCCCCUCAGUGACAGCCAGAGGGGGAAACUGAGGCACGGAACCCUCCCCUUGUCCCCUAGAGGGGGGAAAACUGAGGCACGGACACCCCUCAGUGUCACCCGGAGGGUCCUGGAGGGGGAAACUGAGGCACGGACUCCCCUCAGUGUCACCCGGAGGGUCCUGGAGGGGGAAACUGAGGCACGGGCCUUUCCAACCCUCCCCCGGGGUCGUCCCCGACAUUGUGGGGUGCGGCCCUGGGGGUGCCUUUGGCUCUUUAAAAGGAGGAUUCCCUAGAGUUCAGCCCAGGACAGCCCGGUUUUUUCGGAGAAGGAGGGAUUUUAGGAACGAUCCCACCUCCCAGAGCCUCCCCGGGGUGGAAUUUGAGGGCCCCUCGGGCUCACCUUGUGACAAUCCAGAGCGUGUGGAGAAUCUCAGAGCAGCAUCCCCGGAGUUCUCCACAGGCUCUCCCAGCGCCGCCAAAGCUCCUUGGCAUGGAGACCGCCAACCCCUCAGAGCACCCCGAACCCUUCGGAAUCCCUCAGCAUCCCGAGGCCCCUUAGUGACCCUCCAAAACCCCUCAGGCAGCCCAGCCCUUUCUUUUUCCUUCCUCCUGCCCUUUUUCACCUUUUCUGCCCGUUUUCCUCUCACGUUUUCUGCCGCCUCCCCCCUCCCGUUCCCCUCCCUUCCCUCCCCUCACGUUUCCCGCCUUUUUCCCCCCCUCACGUUUCUCGCUCUUUUCUUCCUCGAUUUAAACAAUAAAAUAACGGCAUUAUAAGGUUCUCUCCCAAUUUAGAACCCUAAAAGAGGGUCUUCCCUCAACUUAAACCCUAAAAAUAGUGAAAGAAGGGGGAUUUUCCCUCAAUCUUGUCAGCAACU